RNAcentral lists this long non-coding RNA (237 nucleotides) under Physcomitrium patens. Its description in RNAcentral is "long non-coding RNA (PPAT_LNC007724)". Lineage: Eukaryota; Viridiplantae; Streptophyta; Bryopsida; Funariales; Funariaceae. The record is from RNAcentral.
AUACAAAAUUUUGUGAUAAUCUAAUGGCGUGGUUUAGGAAUAUCUAGUUUUUAGCACAAGAGGGUUUCAGAAGGUGUCAGUUUGAGGUUGGGUAGGAUUUCUAUGAUAUCUAAAGAUCUAUGAAUUGGAUUAAGAUGAAAAUUGGCAUGGUGUUGAAAGACUUGAAGAUCAAGCUACACACCAAUUUUGAGACAAAGUUAACGGUUGGAAAGGAAGAAAUCAUUGUUGGAAUUUCCA